AUCCUUUCGUGGAUCAUAAGCCUGAUGACUGAGUUUUCACACUGUGUGAGACAGGCCUCUCUCAAACCUUGUUGCAGUGAGUACACAUUACCCAUCUGACA
Small nucleolar RNA from Callithrix jacchus (white-tufted-ear marmoset), 101 nucleotides. NCBI's taxonomy places the organism in Eukaryota, Metazoa, Chordata, Mammalia, Primates, Cebidae. The record is from Ensembl.